Molecule: long non-coding RNA, 1144 nt
Organism: Alligator sinensis (Chinese alligator)
Lineage: Eukaryota; Metazoa; Chordata; Crocodylia; Alligatoridae
Exons: 3
Source: RefSeq, a predicted model, not a curated record
UUUUACAGUGGCCCAGGCCGCAGACAGCAGCGUGUCCGAUUUAUGUUCCUGAGAGGGUCGCCGGCUUUGCAGUUCUAGAGAGGCCCGGACCGCAGGCAGCAGCAUGUCCAAUUUAUGUUCCUGAGAGGGUCACCGGCUUUGCAGUUCUAGAGCACAAACAGGAAGAGAAACAGGAAUUCACAUCUUCCUCACUACAACAACACAAAAAGUCCUCAACGUGAUUGGACUAAGUCAUCUGACAGAUGUUGCGAUAGCCAGGGAAAUAAAAUUCUGCCUUUCUACAAUAUUCCAAGUGAAACAAAAGGUGUUAGAAGUAGAAAUGAAAGGCACAGUGCAAGUAUACUCUACUGGGUAUAUUUACUCUAAGGACAUUCUAAUAUAUAGACUUCCAAGAAGAGGAGGGCUGAAUAGAUUUCCCAGUAGCUACGUAGAACAACUGAUCACAUCUUUUUUAUGACACCUGGUCACUCCUCUGCAUCCAGUCUUAGUUGUAGGGGAAACAAACCCCAUUCCUUCAGCCUUUCCCCACUAGGUCAUUUUUUAAACCUCCUAUUGUUGUUGUUCUCCUGUAGACUCUCUCCUGUUUGACUACAUCCAUCUUGCAGUGUGGGGCCAAAACUGAACAGCACUUCCUAGGCCUCCCCAGUGUCAAAGUAACUACUUCCUGUAUUAUCCAUGACAUUCCUGUUAAUGCAUUCUGGAAUCAGAUUUGCAUUUUGGCAACAGCAUUACAUGGCUGAUUCCUAUGUAAAUUGUGACCCACUACCCUAGUCUUUAUUUGAUUUCUUCCUCCUCAGCGUAGUACUUAAAAUUCAUCCUGUUGAUUUCAGGCCAUUCUGAAUUCUUAUCUGGCCUUCCAAAGUGCUGCUGUCCCUUCCUAGUUUGGUGUUGUCUAUACAGGCAGUCCUAGACUUACAACGUUUCGCACUUGCAAACUGACAUCAUUUCAACUUUAUGAUGUCAGUUUCAACUUUACAAUGCUUGAUCCAAUGCAAUGCCACGUUGGCAAACAGGUUUGCUGUGUUGCUCAUCUCUCUGGAGAACAUCUGUCCAAACUUCCUCGGACACUUUCUUUAAGAAAGCAGACAAAAACUCCAGAAAAGCCUGCAGCCAAGACUCCUGAGAAGACUCCAGCCAUGAACCC